CAGCCGCCGCGGUAAUACAGAGGGUGCAAGCGUUAAUCGGAAUUACUGGGCGUAAAGCGCGCGUAGGUGGUUUGUUAAGUUGGAUGUGAAAGCCCCGGGCUCAACCUGGGAACUGCAUCCAAAACUGGCAAGCUAGAGUACGGUAGAGGGUGGUGGAAUUUCCUGUGUAGCGGUGAAAUGCGUAGAUAUAGGAAGGAACACCAGUGGCGAAGGCGACCACCUGGACUGAUACUGACACUGAGGUGCGAAAGCGUGGGGAGCAAACAGGAUUAGAUACCCGGGUAGUCCCUGUCUCUUAUAC
Molecule: ribosomal RNA, 301 nt
Filed under: uncultured bacterium
Lineage: Bacteria
Description: partial 16S ribosomal RNA
Rfam family: Bacterial small subunit ribosomal RNA
Source: RNAcentral